GACGAACGCUGGCGGCGUGCCUAACACAUGCAAGUCGAACGAGAAUCUUAUGUGUGAUCCCUUCGGGGUGAACUUUUAAGAGGAAAGUGGCGGACGGGCGAGUAACGCGUGAGUAACCUGCCCAUAAGAGGGGGAUAAUCCAUGGAAACGUGGACUAAUACCGCAUAUUGAAUAUUUACCGCAUGGUAGAUAUUUGAAAGAUUUAUCGCUUAUGGAUGGACUCGCGUCAGAUUAGCUGGUUGGUGAGGUAAUGGCUCACCAAGGCGACGAUCUGUAGCCGAACUGAGAGGUUGAUCGGCCGCAUUGGGACUGAGACACGGCCCAG
Molecule: ribosomal RNA, 325 nt
Filed under: uncultured bacterium
Lineage: Bacteria
Description: bacterial SSU rRNA
Rfam family: Bacterial small subunit ribosomal RNA
Source: RNAcentral